CUGUGUAGACCAGGAAUGACACUGAGCAACUCAGGAUGGAUCAUAUCAUUGAAGAGGCUAUUGACAAACAGCUUAUCAACAGAAUGCAAGAGAUGAAAGACACUGUAAGCAGUUUGUCAAAAGAGAUAAAAUUAUGCAGGCCAAAAUCCACCACAACUACCAACAAAUAGGCACUUCUAGCCAACAGACCCACACAUCCCAGGCAUCUAUGAAGAUGUGGUCCAGAGUUGACCAGCAAAACCAAAGAAGAGGAAGUGAUGAAACAACAAAAGCUGAAACUGUGUUGGUUGCACAACAAAAAAACAGAAGUAGCUGUUAAAUCAAUUUGGAAAUGAGAUUACACUUCUGGAUGCUAUUUAAAAGACUGUGAGAUACAACUUGCCACUAUUCUUUCUGGUUGUUAAAACCAAUGUGAACUGUGGAGGGAUGGGCUCUUUCAUUAUUCAAAGUGAAACAACAGCUGCAAUAUGAGGACUGUUAGCAAUCUCUAAUUAUGAAAAUGACACUUGGAAGCCCUGAUAUUUUUUGACAGACUUUUGUCUUGAGAAAAUACAGACAAACACAAUCAAGCAAACAUUCACAGGACAAAAGCCUCUGGAUGGCAAAUCCAAAGCUGAAGAACUGGUUUGAUAAAACAUGGUUGGCAGAAGCAAAGGCGAUGAAUGUGGGCAUAUAGACAAGACAGGUUUAUGGUCUAUAUCAUCACCAAUAAUGGCAUUGAGUCUUAGAAUGAAUCUUUAAAAUAUCAUCACCUCAAAGAUCACAAUCCUAACAGUCUAGCUGGAAUGAUAACAGUACUGAACCAGGAGAUCUGGUGUAACAAACACCAAAGGUAGGUGCCAACAUAGCCAACAAUGAUGGCAAUUAUGUGAAAUGUAUGUUAUUGUGUGAAGAAAAAAAGCUGAUUGAAAGAAGUCAUAGCAUUAGUGAAUUAUGAUAAGAUUGCCUCUGAUGUAGCAGCUCCUUCUCAUUCUUGGGUUCUUUGUGACGACUUGAGAUUUAAAGGGACAUCAUCAAUCAGAAUGUAUUUAUUCAGUUAAGAAAUAACAUGACAUCCAUACUGAGUUUUUAUUUCUGUUGCUUGUAGUGAGUUACAGUAUUAAAACAGUUGUACACAUUCAAAGAAUAAUGAAGAGUGAACACGUAAGAGUUGAGGUACAUUUAAAGUGCUCUGAAUAUUUCUUCUCUUAUGCAUUGAAAACAUACAGACGGUGAACUAACUUACAGUUCAUUUUACUUGCCUUGUCACUUUCUGAUACGUGCAGUCCCUUGUACAAUUUCAGUAUACUUUAAGUAUACUUCAAGUAUACUUUUUCUGUACUUUCCAGAAACGAAGUACAUUUGAAGUAUACAUAAUUUAGACUUCAACAAAAAAAGUGUAAAUGAAGUUUAUUAAGCAAAUUGUAAUAAAUGUACUUUAUUUGUACUUAAAUGGGAAAAGUAUACUUCAAGUAUACUUUCCUAAACCCUUGGAAUUUGCAAAAAAGUUGCCAUAGAAAAUAAAGUAUACUUUGUGUAUACCUUUAAAACUUAAUUACAGACAAUCUGGCCUGCAAGUCUACAAUAUUGAAAUCUCUACACAGCUCCUUUAAAAGUGAAACACUUAAAGCACUAAAUUUAAUAUAUGUUCAAAAACCAUUCCAAGAAAGAAGAUUUUAAAUCAGUAGAACACAACUGUCAAGAAGCCACAGG
Molecule: long non-coding RNA, 1692 nt
Organism: Pocillopora damicornis (cauliflower coral)
Lineage: Eukaryota; Metazoa; Cnidaria; Anthozoa; Scleractinia; Pocilloporidae
Source: RefSeq, a predicted model, not a curated record